UACGGAGGGUGCAAGCGUUAAUCGGAAUUACUGGGCGUAAAGCGCGCGUAGGCGGCUUGUUAAGUCGGAUGUGAAAGCCCUGGGCUCAACCUGGGAACUGCACUCGAUACUGGCGAGCUAGAGUACGAUAGAGGGUGGUAGAAUUCCUAGUGUAGCGGUGAAAUGCGUAGAUAUUAGGAGGAAUACCGGUGGCGAAGGCGGCCACCUGGAUCGAUACUGACGCUGAAGUGCGAAAGCGUGGGGAGCAAACAGG
Molecule: ribosomal RNA, 253 nt
Filed under: uncultured bacterium
Lineage: Bacteria
Description: partial 16S ribosomal RNA
Rfam family: Bacterial small subunit ribosomal RNA
Source: RNAcentral